GUCACUGUCCCCUGUUGGUCCCUGUGUCCUCAGGAGUGAAAUGGGGGUGACCAUCCUGCACUGCAGGCCUCCCAGGGUGGUCAUGAGGGUCAGGGCAGGAAAGGACUGUGCAGAGCUCUCUGCCCCGGUCCACCCUAAGGGCGGAGGGCAAGAACAAAGCCAACAGGAGUAUGACCCUGAGUCCUCAAGAGAGCCCCUGAGCUGGGUGGAGCUCUCACCCUUUCCAGAGGUGGAAAUGGGCUCAGGGAGGCCAGGCCCGGGGCCCCAGGUCUCACACCGAGUGAGUGUCGUGGCUGGGAGUGUUCUGGAGUCAGAGCAUGCUGGGGGCAGAGCAGCAUCGGUACCAGCCGACUGGGGUCAGUUGUUCAGGGUCUGGGGUGAGGAGUUUUGGGGUGACUUGGGGUGAGGGCAGUAUGGCCUCAGUGACCCUGUCCUGACCUUGGCAGAAGCGGCCCUCCAGGUUUGCCACUCUGCUGAUGCACCUCCGGGGAGCUCUGAAGAGGCCGCAGAAGAAAUGUGUCCCCUUCCUCGGAAUAUAUGUCAGUGACCUGGGGAUGCUGCACACUGCCAUACAGGACUACCCUGAGGUUUGUGCCCUGGGGCCCUGGCUGGGGUGACCAGGAUUGAUAUUUGGGGAGGAGAGUGCCCCGCCUCAGUCCUGAGCCCUGAGCUCAUGGCACAGCCACCCCUGGGAGCGGGGGCAGCAUGCCCAUCACAGGGAUCCAUCCACGUCCCCUCUCCUCUGGAGCCCAGAGCCUGUCCUGAGUCCUAGUCCUGUGUUUGUGUGUGUCCAGGGCCCCCCUGGGACCUGACCUAGAGUCACCUGAGAAAGUGUGGGCAUGGGGGCGGUCAUGGCUGGGGGACUCUUUCUGAUGGACUUUGGCUGUCUGCCUUCCAGGGACAUGUGAAAAAUUUAGCAAAGAAGAGGAAGGAACUCAAAGUGUUGGAGGAGAUCGUGCUCCUGCAGCAGGCUGCUCAGCUCUACAGCAUAGAGCCCGAGGAGCGAUUCGGGGCCUGGUUCUGGGCCCUGGAGCGGCUCAGCGAGAAGGAGAGUUACACCCUGUCCUGCCAGCUGGAACCCCGGUCCUAGUUGGCCUGCACAGCACUCAAGGCCAAGAACAUCAGGCGUGACUGAGUGUCCAGGUG
Molecule: long non-coding RNA, 1146 nt
Organism: Phyllostomus discolor (pale spear-nosed bat)
Lineage: Eukaryota; Metazoa; Chordata; Mammalia; Chiroptera; Phyllostomidae
Exons: 4
Source: RefSeq, a predicted model, not a curated record